This 73-nucleotide transfer RNA is filed under the name Cordylochernes scorpioides. RNAcentral's name for it is "tRNA-Thr". Lineage: Eukaryota; Metazoa; Arthropoda; Arachnida; Pseudoscorpiones; Chernetidae. The record is from RNAcentral.
GUCCAGGGAUGGGAAUCGAACCCAACAUGUUCCACUUACCGGGCAGAUGCCAUGUCCACUAGGCUACCCUGGA